GACGAACGCUGGCGGCGUGCUUAACACAUGCAAGUCGAACGGGAAGGCCCUGCUUUUGUGGGGUGCUCGAGUGGCGAACGGGUGAGUAACACGUGAGUAACCUGCCCUUGACUUUGGGAUAACUUCAGGAAACUGGGGCUAAUACCGGAUAGGAGCUCCCGCUGCAUGGUGGGGGUUGGAAAGUUUCGGCGGUUGGGGAUGGAUUCGCGGCUUAUCAGCUUGUUGGUGGGGUAGUGGCUUACCAAGGCUUUGACGGGUAGCCGGCCUGAGAGGGUGACCGGCCACAUUGGGACUGAGAUACGGCCCAGACUCCUACGGGAGGCAGCAGUGGGGAAUAUUGCACAAUGGGCGGAAGCCUGAUGCAGCAACGCCGCGUGCGGGAUGACGGCCUUCGGGUUGUAAACCGCUUUCGCCUGUGACGAAGCGUGAGUGACGGUAAUGGGUAAAGAAGCACCGGCUAACUACGUG
This 468-nucleotide ribosomal RNA is filed under the name uncultured bacterium. Its description in RNAcentral is "partial 16S ribosomal RNA". It matches the Rfam family "Bacterial small subunit ribosomal RNA", at positions 28 to 507 of the family's 1533-position model. The record is from RNAcentral.